CGGGUAAUAGCUCAACGGUAGAGCAACGGACUUUGACUCCGUAUGUUGGGGUUCGAUUCCCCAUUACCUU
Molecule: transfer RNA, 70 nt
Filed under: Bacteriophage sp.
Description: tRNA-Gln
Rfam family: tRNA
About the family: Transfer RNA (tRNA) molecules are approximately 80 nucleotides in length. Their secondary structure includes four short double-helical elements and three loops (D, anti-codon, and T loops).
Source: RNAcentral